GCCCGGGUGGUGGAAUCGGUAGACACAAGGGAUUUAAAAUCCCUCGGCCUUUGGCUGUACGAGUUCAAGUCUCGUCCCGGGUA
Sodalis glossinidius str. 'morsitans' is the source of this 83-nucleotide transfer RNA. It matches the Rfam family "tRNA". Rfam says of the family: Transfer RNA (tRNA) molecules are approximately 80 nucleotides in length. NCBI's taxonomy places the organism in Bacteria, Pseudomonadati, Pseudomonadota, Gammaproteobacteria, Enterobacterales, Bruguierivoracaceae. The record is from Rfam.